CUUGUACUCCCUCCGUCCCAAAAUUCUUGCCUUAGAUUUGUCUAGAUACAUAUCUAAUACUAAAACGUGACUUCGUACAUCCGUAUUUAGACAAAUCUAAGACAAGAUUUUUGGGACGGAGGGAGUAUUUA
Molecule: non-coding RNA, 131 nt
Organism: Triticum aestivum (bread wheat)
Lineage: Eukaryota; Viridiplantae; Streptophyta; Magnoliopsida; Poales; Poaceae
Source: Rfam